Molecule: ribosomal RNA, 236 nt
Filed under: uncultured bacterium
Lineage: Bacteria
Description: partial 16S ribosomal RNA
Rfam family: Bacterial small subunit ribosomal RNA
Source: RNAcentral
GGCGGACGGGUGAGUAAUACUUAGGAAUCUGCCCACUAGUGGGGGACAACUCGAGGAAACUCGAGCUAAUACCGCAUACGCCCUACGGGGGAAAGCGGAGGACCUUUCGGGGCUUCGCGCUAAUGGAUGAGCCUAAGUCGGAUUAGCUUGUUGGUGAGGUAAAGGCUCACCAAGGCGACGAUCCGUAGCUGGUCUGAGAGGACGAUCAGCCACACUGGGACCGAGACACGGCCCAG